AACGCGUGGGAAUCUACCCUUCUCUACGGGAUAGCUCCGGGAAACUGGAAUUAAUACCGUAUACGUCCUGAGGGAGAAAGAUUUAUCGGGGAAGGAUGAGCCCGCGUUGGAUUAGCUAGUUGGGGGGGUAAAGGCCUACCAAGGCGACGAUCCAUAGCUGGUCUAAGAGGAUGAUCAGCCACAUUGGGACUGAGACACGGCCCAAACUCCUACGGGAGGCAGCAGUGGGGAAUAUUGGACAAUGGGCGCAAGCCUGAUCCAGCCAUGCCGCGUGAGUGAUGAAGGCCCUAGGGUUGUAAAGCUCUUUCAGUGGGGACGAUAAUGACGGUACCCACAGAAGAAGCCCCGGCUAACUUCGUGCCAGCAGCCGCGGUAAUACGAAGGGGGCUAGCGUUGUUCGGAAUUACUGGGCGUAAAGCGCACGUAGGCGGAUAUUUAAGUCAGGGGUGAAAUCCCGGGGCUCA
This 464-nucleotide ribosomal RNA is filed under the name Aureimonas altamirensis. RNAcentral's name for it is "bacterial SSU rRNA". It matches the Rfam family "Bacterial small subunit ribosomal RNA", at positions 112 to 611 of the family's 1533-position model. The record is from RNAcentral. Lineage: Bacteria; Pseudomonadati; Pseudomonadota; Alphaproteobacteria; Hyphomicrobiales; Aurantimonadaceae.